RNAcentral lists this ribosomal RNA (378 nucleotides) under uncultured bacterium. RNAcentral describes it as "bacterial SSU rRNA". It matches the Rfam family "Bacterial small subunit ribosomal RNA", at positions 28 to 405 of the family's 1533-position model. The record is from RNAcentral.
GAUGAACGCUAGCGGCAGGCCUAAUACAUGCAAGACGAACGGUAAGUUGAGUAGCAAUACUUAGCCAAGAGUGUCGUACGGGUGCGUAACACGUAUGCAACCUACCCUAUACAGGAGGAUAGCCUAGGGAAACCUGGAUUAACCCUUCAUAGUAUUAUUGGAUGGCAUCAUUUGAUAAUUAAAACUGAGGUGGUAUAGGAUGGGCAUGCGUCUGAUUAGUUAGUUGGCGGGGUAAUGGCCCACAAGACGAUGAUCAGUAGGGGUUCUGAGAGGAAGAUCCCCCACACUGGCACUGAGAUACGGGGCCAGGACUCCUACGGGAGGCAGCAGUAGGAUAUGGUCAAUGGAUGCAAGUCUGAACCAGCCAUGCCGCGUGAC